ACUGAUUACAAGGUGCUGCAUGGUUGUUGUCAGCUCGUGCCGUGAGGCGUCAGGUUAAGUCCUAUAACGAGCGCAACCCCUGUCGUUAGUUGCCAGCAUGUUAUGAUGGGGACUCUAACGAGACUGCCUACGCAAGUAGAGAGGAAGGUGGGGAUGACGUCAAAUCAUCACGGCCCUUACGUCUUGGGCCACACACUUGUUACAAUGGUUUGGACAUAGAGCAGCCAAAAGCAACAGAGAUACGCGUUACAAACCAUAGCACAGGGCGGAUCGGAGGCAAGCACAAUGUUACCCCUCGAUGGAAUCGAUGUAACCGUGAUUCACUAGUUAAUGCGGUGAAUAGGUUCAGCUGGCCUUGUACA
Molecule: ribosomal RNA, 362 nt
Filed under: uncultured Antarctic bacterium
Lineage: Bacteria
Description: bacterial SSU rRNA
Rfam family: Bacterial small subunit ribosomal RNA
Source: RNAcentral